GGCCCCUAGGUCCUAACUUAGAAAAUGAGGUCAAGGGCAAAGGUCAAGGUCAAAAUCUCAAUUGUGACUUUUGCUUGUAUUUGCAUUUUCUCCCACACUUUGAAAGAUACAUAUAAAAGAAAAGUGCAAAUGUCAGCUUUAUUGUAAUGAAGAUAUGCUACAUUUAGUCUGAUACAAUUUAAUGGCAUCUUAUAGGAGUUGGUGCCCCUGAAAUAUCUUGAUAUGAGGUUAUUUGAUUAUAACUUCAACUAAGUUGAUUAUAAAGGCAUUUGACCUUUUACAAAAGGUUAGGUGACAAAUGACCUUGAAAAAUGACUACCGGAAGUGACCUUGAGAAAACCAGAAGUAGCCUUUUUUGCAAUUUUUACAUAUAAAAGUACUCAGAAUCCAUAUAUUUCGUCAUAUAGAUACAUAAACUGAAUACUGACGACUAAAAAUGACUUCCAACAAACCGGAAGUGGCCAAUUAUCUCCCAUUCUACAUACAAAAGUAUAUACAAACUAUAUAUUUUUGGAAUCAGUGUGAAAAAAGGUAUCAUAUGAGACCGGAAGUGACAUUCAUUUCACCGGAAGUAGCAU
This 578-nucleotide long non-coding RNA is filed under the name Mytilus galloprovincialis (Mediterranean mussel). The record is from RNAcentral. Lineage: Eukaryota; Metazoa; Mollusca; Bivalvia; Mytilida; Mytilidae.